This is a long non-coding RNA of Amphimedon queenslandica, 457 nucleotides long. RefSeq lists it as uncharacterized. The transcript has 2 exons. The record is from RefSeq and is a predicted model, not a curated record. NCBI's taxonomy places the organism in Eukaryota, Metazoa, Porifera, Demospongiae, Haplosclerida, Niphatidae.
UAUCUAUGGAAUUGGAACAAGUUGAUGUAGGGCAGUAUACCAGACUCUCUCCCCGCCACCCCCAAGUCAAAAAGGGGAGGAGUCUGGCUACGCGAGACUACUGUUAUACCUGAUGCUGUUCUUGAUGCUGCUCCUAAAAUAAUGAAGGUGGUAAAGUUUCUAAAACCGUUUGAAUCACAGUGGUGUAUGAUAAGAUUAUGCCUUGAAGUAGAUUUAGAUGAAGAUGAGCUAGUUAUUAAAAAACACCAUGACAACAGUUCCUGUCAAGGGCGUAGCUAGCAUAAGGCUAGGAUAGGCUAUAGCCUACCCUGAAGUUCAAAAGUCAGAAUUGAAGUUUAGUAGUUUACCUAUAUUGAGUUUCUGCCUUAGUCACUUAUGAUCAAAGAUUAUAGAAGUUUAGGGUAGCUGUCUCAACUGGCAGUUACUCACUCAGUCACUUUUGACACAGGCAAACAGA